GACGAACGCUGGCGGCGUGCCUAAUACAUGCAAGUAGAACGCUGAAGGAGGAGCUUGCUUCUCUGAGAUGAGUUGCGAACGGGUGAGUAACGCGUAGGUAACCUGCCUGGUAGCGGGGGAUAACUAUUGGAAACGAUAGCUAAUACCGCAUAAUACUUGAUUAUUGCAUGAUAGUCAAUUAAAAGGUGCAAUUGCAUCACUACCAGAUGGACCUGCGUUGUAUUAGCUAGUUGGUGAGGUAACGGCUCACCAAGGCAACGAUACAUAGCCGACCUGAGAGGGUGAUCGGCCACACUGGGACCGAGACACGGCCCUGACUCCUACGGGAGGCAGCAGUAGGGAAUCUUCGGCAAUGGACGGAAGUCCGACCGAGCAACGCCGCGUGAGUGAAGAAGGUUUUCGGAUCGUAAAGCUCUGUUGUAAGAGAAGAACGAGUGUGAGAGUGGAAAGUUCACACUGUGACGGUAUCUUACCAGAAAGGGACGGCUAACUACGUGCCAGCAGCCGCGGUAAUACGUAGGUCCCGAGCGUUGUCCGGAUUUAUUGGGCGUAAAGCGAGCGCAGGCGGUUAGAUAAGUCUGAAGUUAAAGGCUGUGGCUUAACCAUAGUACGCUUUGGAAACUGUUUAACUUGAGUGCAAGAGGGGAGAGUGGAAUUCCAUGUGUAGCGGUGAAAUGCGUAGAUAUAUGGAGGAACACCGGUGGCGAAAGCGGCUCUCUGGCUUGUAACUGACGCUGAGGCUCGAAAGCGUGGGGAGCAAACAGGAUUAGAUACCCUGGUAGUCCACGCCGUAAACGAUGAGUGCUAAGUGUUAGGGGGUUUCCGCCCCUUAGUGCUGCAGCUAACGCAUUAAGCACUCCGCCUGGG
RNAcentral lists this ribosomal RNA (867 nucleotides) under uncultured Streptococcus sp. RNAcentral describes it as "bacterial SSU rRNA". It matches the Rfam family "Bacterial small subunit ribosomal RNA", at positions 28 to 877 of the family's 1533-position model. Lineage: Bacteria; Bacillati; Bacillota; Bacilli; Lactobacillales; Streptococcaceae. The record is from RNAcentral.